UCAAGAAGUGGCCCAUCUGGGUCAAGUGACAGAGCUGCGCUCCCUGCCGCCACCACCAUGUGACCCCAAGCUCUGCACUGUGUCAUGGCAGUGCCCCCGCUGUCUCUGGGGGACAACACAAGAACUUUUGGUGUGGUGCCCGCCUGCCCUCCCCCACCUGCACCCAGUCACUCGGCUUGAACUGCACCCCUACAGCCACGGUGAUCCCCCCGUUCCUCGCAAAGCCCAGCCCUGACCUUGAGGAUCGGAAACCUCGCCGUCAGGGGUCUCCCCCUCUCUGCCUGGAGACUCUCCAUUUUCCUCCGUCAAGGGAAAGAAUCGGAUUUGCAUCAUCUAAAAAUUCAGCUACUUCAGAACCUGAAAUCAAGUGAGAGGAGCCUCCCGUGGAGUAUCUGAGAAGUCUCAGGGCUGCAAGUUCAUUUGCUGCAGACAUUUGCAGACCCUCCCCGCAUGGCCUUCAGGGCUGGAAGCAGACUGAUGAAGGGCUUCUCCCAGAGUUCCAAGGUGGGGGCGGGGGGUGAUGUUCACUGGUAUACCUCACCCCAGCACUGGCCCACUCCUCCGGGGAGGAGCACCAGGCUGGUAGCAGACAAAAUUGUGAGACUAAAGAAAGGCUACACUUUCCUCCUAGACCUUAUUCCUUCCAUUUCAUUUAGCAUUUGCUUUAUUGCGGAGACCUCCCAACAGCGCAGAAAGCCAUCGAAGGCCGAUGCACCUGUCUCUGACACCUACUGGCUGGGCAACUGGAACAAGGACCCACGGCAUUGUGAAGUAGAGCAAGAAGGCCUUGGUCGGUUUGGUUUGAAGUUCAAACCUUGUCCCACCCCUUAUCACAGUCCCCAGCCUGCUCCAUCUGUGGCUGCUGCUUAUCGCUGAACUGAGUUGGUUCUAGGAGCCAAGCUUGUUUGGUGAGGAAGAGUCGAAGCAGCCGGGCAGGCCCAGGGUGUGCUUCCAGAGAGAUCUGCUUCACACCCCUGCUGAUGGCGCUGGGGUGGCGGGAGCAGCCUUUUCAGGGCUUUUCCAAGCAGUUUCCAAAACUCCGAGGGGCAAUCACAGCGAACCUUCCAUGUCACAGACGGUCAUCCCUGCCAUCGCCUGUCAAACUAGGACACGGGAGGUCACUGCUUGGGUUUUUGGAGGGUUUUGUUUCCUGUUUUGUUUUUGUUUUUUUUUUUUGUCAGAGCAACAUGGGCAUAUGGUCUUUAAAAAUCACAUGAUACUAAAAUGCUCCUAAUGGUCAGCAGUAUCUCUUUGGCCACGCCUUGCUCUUGCCUUUCCAGACGCACCAUGGUCAGUUCUUUCAGCGAUUUCUUCUGGUAUCUAUCUCCACAUUUCCAAAUACGCUUACUCUCAUAUUUCUUGUACCAACUUCAGAUGGUUUCUGUUGACUUUCUGUUACAGUAGGUGAGGGUUUGACAUUUCUGCAGGACCUCCGUCCUCCGACCACAAGUUUCAGUGAGAUCAGUACCCCGUGUGUACUUCAUUAUGACUCUGAAUCAUUCCGGUCUUUGCCAGGUCCUACAAAAUCCUACAGGACCUGACUCCCUCUUCCCCUGCCUGUCUCCCUCUCCAUCACUCCUCUCCAGCAUCAGCGGCCUCCCUGGUUCCUCCAACAGGGGACCACGCUGAGCGUACUCCUGUCCCAGGGCCUUUACACUUGUUCUUCCAACUAGCAGGACACUCUCCUCCCUGAUGUUUGCCUGAAAUCCUUCCUCAUUUCAUUCAUGCAUCCGCUCAAAUACCACCUGAUCUGAGAGAAGUCUUUCCAGAUUAUUUUCCCUCCAUCUGCUUUCCAGCUUUUCUUCACAGACUUACCACACACACACACACACACACACACACACACACACACCCUUUGACAUUUUAUUAUGUAUUUAUUGAUGUAAAUCCUGAUUACAUAUUUGUUGAGGGAAGGGACUUUGUUAACCACUAUGACCCCCGGGGCCCCAGAACAAGCCUGGCCCAUAGCAGGCCAUCAGCAAACACUGGGAGCAACUGAAUGCUGAGCCUAUUGAUUUACUGCGCUUUUGUUUCAUUGUUUAUACAAUUCCUCCCCCCUUCCCCAUAGUUAAUAUCUACCUUGCUUUUUCAUUUAAUUUGUUUUCUCUGGCACACACCCUCCAACAGCCUUUCAAUCCAAUUUUUCAUAUAAACGUAUCAGAUAAUCUCCUGUGUUUAGAAUUUCCCUCUUUGUCUGGGCUGCUAGUAUAGAAUACCAUAGACUGAGUAGUAUAUAUACACACACACACACA
Molecule: long non-coding RNA, 2252 nt
Organism: Mustela erminea (ermine)
Lineage: Eukaryota; Metazoa; Chordata; Mammalia; Carnivora; Mustelidae
Exons: 3
Source: RefSeq, a predicted model, not a curated record